Molecule: long non-coding RNA, 453 nt
Filed under: Triticum aestivum (bread wheat)
Lineage: Eukaryota; Viridiplantae; Streptophyta; Magnoliopsida; Poales; Poaceae
Description: long non-coding RNA (TAES_LNC001134)
Source: RNAcentral
AUCUAUUCAACACUUUUAUUAUGAUAACACUACAACAAUUAUUUCAAUUCAGAACUAUUUACAAAGCAUGAAUAACACAAGUUUAUUCAUCCAAUCUUUUAUUCUCCUGAAAUUAAAAGUAGCACCUUGGGCAUUCAGUACAUUGCACACAGCACAGGCAAGACAGCUUUGUCGGUGGAAAUCAUAAGAAAUUCCACAACAUACAGAUGUUAAACAAGAAGGGACUAACCAAACACAAAGCCCCUCACCAAUCACAAUGUAGUGAAGAUCAGUUAUGAAUCAACGCUUCUUCAUGAACCCCUCUGCAAGCUUUAAGUAGUCCCCCAUACCAGCUCCGCUUCCCCCCUCACCAUCCUUCUUCAUGAAACCCUGAGCAAGUUUCAGGUAAUCUGCCAUGCCACUGCCCUCCGACUCAUGUUUUCCACUCUCAGGGCGGCCACCAUGUUUCUUCUU